This 351-nucleotide RNase P RNA is filed under the name Limnovirga soli. Its description in RNAcentral is "Bacterial RNase P class A". It matches the Rfam family "Bacterial RNase P class A". From Rfam's summary of the family: Ribonuclease P (RNase P) is a ubiquitous endoribonuclease, found in archaea, bacteria and eukarya as well as chloroplasts and mitochondria. Its best characterised activity is the generation of mature 5'-ends of tRNAs by cleaving the 5'-leader elements of precursor-tRNAs. The record is from Rfam by way of RNAcentral. Lineage: Bacteria; Pseudomonadati; Bacteroidota; Chitinophagia; Chitinophagales; Chitinophagaceae.
CUACAGGCCCGAACUAUCGCACCAAACUUGUUUGGUGAGGAAAGUCUGGACAGUACAGGGCAACCCACCGGUGAACAGCCGGGUCUUGUGCAAACAGGAACAGAAAGUGCCACAGAAAAUUACCGCCACGCUGCAAAGCAGGUAAGGGUGAAAAUGUGAGGUAAAAGCUCACAAUGCCGGGCAGUAAUGCAAGGCAUGGGUAAACCUUGGGUGCUGUAAUGCCACGUAUAGUACCGUUUUAAGAGCGGCCCGUUCAAGGUACAGGGUAGGCAGCAACACUGUAACAGUAAUGUUGCAGGCAGAUAAAUGAUAGUGUUAAAACAGAAUCCGGCUUACGAGGUUUGUAGUACA